RNAcentral lists this ribosomal RNA (520 nucleotides) under uncultured Glomus. RNAcentral describes it as "SSU rRNA". It matches the Rfam family "Eukaryotic small subunit ribosomal RNA", at positions 569 to 1082 of the family's 1831-position model. The record is from RNAcentral. Lineage: Eukaryota; Fungi; Glomeromycota; Glomeromycetes; Glomerales; Glomeraceae.
AGCAGCCGCGGUAAUUCCAGCUCCAAUAGCGUAUAUUAAAGUUGUUGCAGUUAAAAAGCUCGUAGUUGAAUUUCGGGAUUGGCGCAUCGGUCGUGCCUCACGGGGUAUGAACUGGUGCAGUCAAUUUCUCACCUUCUGGAGAACCGCGAUGUCCUUAAUUGGAUGCCGUGGGGAACCAGGACCUUUACUUUGAAAAAAUUAGAGUGUUUAAAGCAGGCAUUUUUGCUUGAAUACAUUAGCAUGGAAUAAUAAAAUAGGACGGCAUGGUUCUAUUUUGUUGGUUUCUAGGACCACCGUAAUGAUUAAUAGGGAUAGUUGGGGGCAUUAGUAUUCAAUUGUCAGAGGUGAAAUUCUUGGAUUUAUUGAAGACUAACUACUGCGAAAGCAUUUGCCAAGGAUGUUUUCAUUAAUCAAGAACGAAAGUUAGGGGAUCGAAGACGAUCAGAUACCGUCGUAGUCUUAACCAUAAACUAUGCCGACUAGGAAUCAGACGAUGUUAAUUUUUUUAAUGACUCGUUUG